RNAcentral lists this ribosomal RNA (199 nucleotides) under uncultured bacterium. Its description in RNAcentral is "partial 16S ribosomal RNA". It matches the Rfam family "Bacterial small subunit ribosomal RNA", at positions 328 to 539 of the family's 1533-position model. The record is from RNAcentral.
ACGCUCGACACCUACUGGAGGCAGCAGUCGGGAAUAUUGCGCAAUGGAGGAAACUCUGACGCAGUGACGCCGCGUAUAGGAAGAAGGUUUUCGGAUUGUAAACUAUUGUCGUUAGGGAAGAGAAAGGACAGUACCUAAGGAGGAAGCUCCGGCUAACUACGUGCCCGCAGCCGCGGUAAUCUGAGCGGGCUGGCAAGGC